GACGAACGCUGGCGGCGUGCUUAACACAUGCAAGUCGAACGGAAAGGCCCUGCUUUUGUGGGGUGCUCGAGUGGCGAACGGGUGAGUAACACGUGAGUAACCUGCCCUUGACUUUGGGAUAACUGCAGGAAACUGGGGCUAAUACCGGAUAGGAGCUCCGGCUGCAUGGUGGGGGUUGGAAAGUUUCGGCGGUUGGGGAUGGACUCGCGGCUUAUCAGCUUGUUGGUGGGGUAGUGGCUUACCAAGGCUUUGACGGGUAGCCGGCCUGAGAGGGUGACCGGCCACAUUGGGACUGAGAUACGGCCCAGACUCCUACGGGAGGCAGCAGUGGGGAAUAUUGCACAAUGGGCGGAAGCCUGAUGCAGCAACGCCGCGUGCGGGAUGACGGCCUUCGGGUUGUAAACCGCUUUCGCCUGUGACGAAGCGUGAGUGACGGUAAUGGGUAAAGAAGCACCGGCUAACUACGUG
RNAcentral lists this ribosomal RNA (468 nucleotides) under uncultured bacterium. RNAcentral's name for it is "partial 16S ribosomal RNA". It matches the Rfam family "Bacterial small subunit ribosomal RNA", at positions 28 to 507 of the family's 1533-position model. The record is from RNAcentral.